RNAcentral lists this ribosomal RNA (498 nucleotides) under uncultured bacterium. RNAcentral describes it as "partial 16S ribosomal RNA". It matches the Rfam family "Bacterial small subunit ribosomal RNA", at positions 29 to 523 of the family's 1533-position model. The record is from RNAcentral.
AUUGAACGCUGGCGGCAUGCCUUACACAUGCACGUCGAACGGUAACGCGGGGCAACCUGGCGACGAGUGGCGAACGGGUGAGUAAUGUAUCGGAACGUGCCCAGUUGUGGGGGAUAACUGCUCGAAAGAGCAGCUAAUACCGCAUACGACCUGAGGGUGAAAGCGGGGGAUCGCAAGACCUCGCGCAAUUGGAGCGGCCGAUAUCAGAUUAGGUAGUUGGUGGGGUAAAGGCUCACCAAGCCAACGAUCUGUAGCUGGUCUGAGAGGACGACCAGCCACACUGGGACUGAGACACGGCCCAGACUCCGACGGGAGGCAGCGGUGGGGAAUUUUGGACAAUGGGCGCAAGCCUGAUCCAGCCAUGCCGCGUGCGGGAAGAAGGCCUUCGGGUUGUAAACCGCUUUUGUCAGGGAAGAAAAGACUCCUGUUAAUACCGGGGGUUCAUGACGGUACCUGAAGAAUAAGCACCGGCUAACUACGUGCCAGCCGCCGCAGUAA